This 463-nucleotide ribosomal RNA is filed under the name Vreelandella stevensii. Its description in RNAcentral is "partial 16S ribosomal RNA". It matches the Rfam family "Bacterial small subunit ribosomal RNA", at positions 335 to 795 of the family's 1533-position model. The record is from RNAcentral. Lineage: Bacteria; Pseudomonadati; Pseudomonadota; Gammaproteobacteria; Oceanospirillales; Halomonadaceae.
CCUCGUGGGCAGCAGUGGGGAAUAUUGGACAAUGGGCGAAAGCCUGAUCCAGCCAUGCCGCGUGUGUGAAGAAGGCCUUCGGGUUGUAAAGCACUUUCAGUGGGGAAGAAAGCCUUGGGGCUAAUACCCUCGAGGAAGGACAUCACCCACAGAAGAAGCACCGGCUAACUCCGUGCCAGCAGCCGCGGUAAUACGGAGGGUGCGAGCGUUAAUCGGAAUUACUGGGCGUAAAGCGCGCGUAGGCGGUCUGAUAAGCCGGUUGUGAAAGCCCCGGGCUCAACCUGGGAACGGCAUCCGGAACUGUCAGGCUAGAGUGCAGGAGAGGAAGGUAGAAUUCCCGGUGUAGCGGUGAAAUGCGUAGAGAUCGGGAGGAAUACCAGUGGCGAAGGCGGCCUUCUGGACUGACACUGACGCUGAGGUGCGAAAGCGUGGGUAGCAAACAGGAUUAGAUACCCCAGUAGUC